GAGGGCGUGGCUCAAUGGUACCGCGCAUCUCUAGUCCUGCCGAGUAAUACUUGGGUGGGCCAUAAUGAGAAGAUCUGGGUUCGAUUCCCAGCGUCCUCA
RNAcentral lists this transfer RNA (99 nucleotides) under Sphaerosporella brunnea. It matches the Rfam family "tRNA". From Rfam's summary of the family: Transfer RNA (tRNA) molecules are approximately 80 nucleotides in length. Their secondary structure includes four short double-helical elements and three loops (D, anti-codon, and T loops). Lineage: Eukaryota; Fungi; Ascomycota; Pezizomycetes; Pezizales; Pyronemataceae. The record is from Rfam by way of RNAcentral.